GUUUCUGAGUCGGACCUAUCUAUCCGAGUGGGAGCCAUCUAAGAACUAUCUAAUUUCAAUGAUACUUGGUUUCGAGUGGGAGUUAAGAAUCAUUUAAUAUCAAUGAUUGUUAGUUCUGAUGGGAGCUAUCUAUCUGAGUGGGAGCCAUCCAAGAACUAUCUAAUUUAAUGAUUCUUGGUUUCGAGUUGGAUCUAAGAACUAUGUAAUGCCAAUGAUUCUUGGUUCAAAAAAUCAGAAGAUGAAUUUUGAGGAAAGUGAUGGAAGUAUAUAUAUGGAGUAUAGAAUUUCGACCUAAUCUAAGAUAUGGUGAAAGUUCUGUUCAAACAUUAUGUUUAUUGAGAACAUUCAGGCUCUUGAAAGUUAAAUGGAAGACUAAUGAAUUUCUAAUAGAUAAAACUCAUUUUUUUUAAAAAGGUUAUACUCAAUGUAAGUGUAUUGAGUUGUAUAAUUUUUUUCAUAACAAAAGGAUUCACUUCUGUACAUCAAUGCUAGCCGUGAUGGUAUGUUUAAAUUUAGAGUACACCAAAUCGACCUAGAGACUAUAUUUUUAUUCUCAAUUGAGAAAUGAUUAAAGAUAUCAACAUGAAUCGACUUUUAGAUUUUAUAUUAAAGGUUUUUUUUUUGUUUAGUGGUAACUUUACAGUUACACACAUGACCAAAUACAGUCAUCUCGACAAUCGUACUUAAAUUUUUAACAGGGUUAAAUCUCGUACAAGAAUUUCGUCAUAUGGACAAAAAUUACUGUAUUUGUAUAAAAGGUCUGAUGGUAGGUUGUAAGUCUAAUAUUGAUAUUGAUGACAUUGGAUUGGCUAAGCAUGAUAAGGAGUGUAUAGAGACCAUUUUGAAAUGAUUGUCGUCAAUUUUUGAGACAAAAGACAUAGAUUUAACAAAUUGUAUGAUUUAUGCUAAGAAUACUUUUCGUAUGUUCUUACUCUAUCAUAAGAGUUUUAUACUAUAAAUGGUCAUGUGGAAUUGCAACUGUGACCAUAUAAGUCUUCAUAAAUGUCUAAAGAUUUCAUAAGCGCACAAAAAAAUAUCCAGAGAACCAUAUCUAGUACGAUUAAGAGUUAGGAGAUAGAAGUAUACUAUGAUAUAUACUGUUGCUAAUAAUAGUCAUGCCAUGGAUCUAAUCAGUAGGUAUCAAUAUUAUCUUUAGAAAAUGUAUUGUGAUAUCUGAAGGGUGCUGCUGUCAGUUAUUCUAUCUCGUUGUCAAACGAAUAACUUGUGAUUGGAAUAGAUAUACAAUUGUUGACUAAGAAUGAGAGUUAGUCGAG
Molecule: long non-coding RNA, 1274 nt
Filed under: Olea europaea subsp. europaea
Lineage: Eukaryota; Viridiplantae; Streptophyta; Magnoliopsida; Lamiales; Oleaceae
Source: RNAcentral